Long non-coding RNA from Arabidopsis lyrata subsp. lyrata, 148 nucleotides. RefSeq lists it as uncharacterized. The transcript has 3 exons. The record is from RefSeq and is a predicted model, not a curated record. Lineage: Eukaryota; Viridiplantae; Streptophyta; Magnoliopsida; Brassicales; Brassicaceae.
CUACGCCUUCACCGUCUUCUGUAAUCGUAUACACUGUACUAAAAGAGUUGGGAACCUCUGUUGAUGUAACUGCUGGUACCAAUGUCAUCGAGGUUGAACCAAUGGUGAAAGCAGAUAUCAUUUUGGGAGGAGAUAACAACACUAUCGU